AUAUAUAAAUCACCAAUAAGAACAUGAAAAAAUAAUUUAUUGCAUAAUUUACCAGGGAAGUGAAAAUUAAAACCACAAUGAAGUAAUCCCAGCAUAGUGACCAAAAUUCACAAGAUCAUAAUAGCAAUAUCCACAAGUAUUUCACAGCAAUGAGAACUCUCACACACCGGUUGGUAAGGUGAGAAUAAGCACAACCACUUUGGAAAAUAACUUUGUAGUACCUUCUAAACUGAGUCUCCUAGGAGUUCCCUUGUGGUACAGUGGGUUAAGGAUCUGACAUUAUCCCCUCAGCAACUUGGGUUGGUGCUGUGACUGACAUGGGUUUGAUCGCUGGCCCAGGAACUUUCACAUGCCAUGGGUGUGGCCAAAAAAUAAAAAUAAAUAAACUGAACCUUCUAAACUAAACUGUAUGAGCCAGGAAUUCUAUUCCCAAUAAUAUACUCAACAGAAACGCAAGCCCACAUGCACCAAGAGGCCUACACAAGAAUAUUUGAGGCAGAACUAUUUAUAAUAGCUUCAAAAGCGAGUGAAAGCUCUUUGUUCCCUUUGAGGUCCUCCAGCUAGACUAAGAUGGAGUAAUGCCUAUUUACUCUUCUAUGCUUUUCUUGUCUUGGAGUGAAGUAGAUAGGAUGUAAUAUAAUAUACAUAAGGUGAUCUGCAUUUGUAGAUAUGAAAUUAAACUUCCCAUUAAGAAGACCAAGGUAUGUACCCAGAAAGAAAGGGUGGGGAAAAUUAUUUGAAAAUCAGAAACUGGCAUUCCUCCUGACAGCUAAUGUCUUAGAGAUCUUUGUGACCAGUAUGCUAAGAUGGAAAAAUGACUUUUAAGAAGUUAUAAAAGCAAUUCAUUUACAUAGUAUUUUUUUUUAAAAAUUAAACAGUUUAGAAGGACAUAAAAUGAAAUGUCUCCUUCCCAUUCAUAGUUCUUCAAAUAUAACCACUAUUUUAGGUAUACUUUCCAAGAAAAGAUAAAGGAUACCUAUGUCACUUUAUGCACACAUGUACUCUAUUUUUCACAUCUACUCCAUGCGAUAACACUACAAAUACCAGUCUACUACUCACUUUUUUCUCUUCACAUUAAUCAAGACUGUCUUACCUUCUUAUAUUUGUAAGUUUACCUCAUUCUCAAUGUCUGCAUUGUGUGUCAUUGUAUAAAUAGAAUAUUCUGAAGAAGUGCUAUAUUCAUUAGUUCUAUUACAUUAUUUCCAGUGUUUUGGCAAUUAUGAAUGAUGCCACAAUAAAUAUUGUUUUACAGCAAGUUUCACAUACUUUCCUUAAGGUAUUUUCCCAGCAAUAGAAAUGUGGGAGUAAGCUUAUGUGCUUUUUUUAAAACCCUAACAUUUAUUUUUUCACUUUUAUCUCAGGGCAGGAAACUUUGAUCAGUAGUUAAAGAUGGGUACUUCCACUUCCUUUUUUCUAAUUCACUAAUGCACCCUGCUCUUCGAAAAAACUAUUUCUCAGACGUGCUCCUUGGGGCUCGUGGGACAGAGUACAACUGUCAGAUCCAAACCAAACCUGCCAUUCCUGAGAAGACACCUCUCUUUUGGUCUUAGCCCUGGGAAGCCCAGGCCUUCAUGCUGCUGUGGGUGUCACUGCUCGUCCUGGCUCCUGUCAGUGGACAAUUUGCAACUGAACCAAAACCUGUCAUUUCCCUUCAUCCUCUAUGGACCACCUUCUUCCAAGGAGAGACUGUGAUGCUGACUUGCAACACAUUUCGCUUCCAUGCACCAGAGAAAAUAAAAUUGUACCGUUGGUACCUUGAGGGAGAAAUACAAAGUGAAACCCUAGGAAAUACCCAUGAGGUCCGCGAAACUGGAAUGUACAAAUGCCAGGCCCAGGAUUCACCCCCAAGUGAUGCUGUUCACUUGCUCUUUUCUUCAGCCAACCUGAUACUGCAAGCACCGCCUUAUGUGUUUGAAAAAGAAUCUGUGGUUCUGAGAUGCCAAGCAAAGGCAAACACAGAACUGAAUGGCAUGACACUGUACAAACAUGGAGAAGUCUUGGGAGUCCCUAAAAAAACCUCUGAAUUCCGUAUUUAUCAAGCAGGUCUGAAGGACAAUGGUGAAUAUCGAUGUACUGGACUUAAGAAAGACAAUGAAACUAUUUCUUCAAAUGCAGUCAAAAUAGAAGUUCAAGAACUGUUUCCAAGGCCUGUGCUGAAAGCCAGCUCCACCCAGCCCACCGAGGAGGGCACACUGACCUUGACCUGUGAGACCCAGCUCUCUUCACAGAGACCAGAUGUCCAACUCCAGUUCCGAUUCUUCAGAGAUUACACAUCCCCACAGCCAUAUUGGAGAUCUUCCCCAGAACUUCAAAUCUUCACCAUACAGAGAGAAGACUCAGGGUCUUACAGGUGUGAGGCACAGACAGUGACCCCCCAUCUCCAGAAACAGAGCCAGCAAUUGCAGAUAAAUGUGCAAAGAAUUGUUGCUGAUGUCCGACUAUACUCCCGCCCAGAACUGGUGUUUGAAGGGAAGGAGUUGGUUCUCAUCUGUUCAGUAAGUGGAGUUCCAGCGCCCAUCACAGUCUCUUUCUUCAAAAAAAGACCAUGGAAUAAAGAUACAAAGAUUGUCACAUCCUCAGAAACAGAAUUCAAGAUCCCUGCAGUGGAAAGCAGCCAUGCUGGAGAGUAUUACUGUGCUGCUGGAAAGAAUCACCGCUCUUUUCCCAGCCAGACAUUGACCAUAAGUGUGAGGGUCCCUGCUUCUCAUCCUGUCCUCACACUCAGCCGUUCUAGAGCCCAGACACUUGAGGGAGAUGAGGUGAGCCUUCGCUGUGAAGCUCGGAGAGGUUCUCUACCCAUCUGCUUCCAGUUUUAUCAUGAAAGUAUGUUGCUCAAAAAGGCAGAAGGCACUAUAUGGAGAUCAGUGUCCUUCAGAUUCACUGUGACUGCAGAGCAUUCUGGGCACUACUACUGCACAGCUGACAAUGGCCUUGGCCCUCAGUACAGUGAGGCUGCAAGCCUCUCUGUCACCGUUCCAGUGUCUCGCCCUGUCCUCACCCUCAGGGCUCCCAGGGCCCAGCCUGUGGUGGGGGACGUGGCGGAGCUUCACUGUGAGGUCCAGAGGGGCUCUCUCCCAAUCCGAUACCAGUUUUAUCAUGAGGCUGUUGCCCUGUGGAGCAACUCAGUGUCCUCUAAAAAAGCCUUCUUCAGGUUCUCUCUGACUGAAGGACAUUCUGGAAACUACUUCUGCAAGGCUGACAAUAACCUAGGGGCCCAGCGGAGUGACACAGUGUCACUCAGUGUCAGAGUUCCAGUGUCUCGCCCUGUCCUCACCCUCAGGGCUCCCAGGGCUCAGGCUGUGGUGGGGGACGUGGUGGAGCUUCACUGUGAGGUCCAGAAAGGCUCUCCCCCAAUCCGAUACCAGUUUUAUCACAAGAAUGUCACCCUGGGGAACGGCACGUCCCUCUCUGGACAAGGAGUGUCCUUCAACCUCUCACUGACUGCAGAACAUUCUGGAAACUACUCCUGUGAGGCCGACAAUGACCUGGGGCCCCAGUGCAGUGAGGCAGUGACACUUUCCAUCACAGUGAUGACAGGGAGCAGAAGUGGCUCUGUUGCCACCAGUGUCACUGGGGGGCUGCUCAGCCUGGUGGGCCUUGCUGCUGUGGCACUGCUGUUCUAUUGCUGGUUCCCAAGAAAAGCAGGAGGAAGGUCUACCUUGGACUCUUCCAGGCUUGGCAACUAACCUGUGGUAAUGACUCACUGACGGGGAAUGAUCAUCAUAGCUCCUUUAUCAGGAUUUCUGGGAAACAGCGGGGUGUCUGUCUCCUAGGAACCAUUCAGCCUCGGACCUCCACGAGCCCACCUACUACAAUGUACCAGGCUGGAUAGAAUUGCAACCAGUGUACAGCAAUGUAAAUCCUAAAGAAGGAGACAUCGUGUACUCGGAAGUCCGGAGCGUGAAGAGGGAGAACAGACAUGCAGGUGCAGUGGCCUCCGCACCAGAGCUUCUCAACGACAAGGAUGCCUGUGUCAUCUACUCGCAGGUGAAGGUGGCUUCAGCCCCAGCCCCUAAGCCCCAGCUCUUGGAUUCAUCCACUCCUCACAGAUGAGUCCACACAGCUCCCAACUGCUAUGUCAGCUUCUGCAGCCCAAAGCCAUCCUUGGGGGAGAAGGGACAUCCAUGUGAGAAGAUGUAAAACCACCCCAUGCCACAUCAAGUGGGCUGUGCACCAGUCUGAACAGACCAGAGGGCCCUGAAGGAACUCCAUCUACUUCUGAAGUGACAGCUCUGGCACCAUGGUCCUUUUUUUCUAAUGACAUGUUGCUCCCAAUCCAGGGCGCAUCACAUCACCUGGCUUCCUCAGUGGGCUUCAGCUUUGGUCACUAUACUGAGUCCUAUUCCCAUGCACACCCCUAUCUUUCCUCAAUGAGGACUGCACCUGACAACCUGCUCUCAGAAAGCAGGAAAGCUUCUCAAACUUAAAAGUGCUUAUGGGUCAGCUGGGGACCUUGUGAAAAGGCACACUCUGAUUCACCGGGUUUGGGUGGUGGCUAAGAUCCUGCAUCUAUGACAAACUCGCACAUGGUGCUGAUGCUACUGCUCCUAGGACCAUAUUGAGUACCCAAGCUCCAAAGUUCUUGGCAGAGGCCCAUGGGGAAGCAGCACGUGCUCUGGUUGCCCACCGCCCAACUCCAUGGGGGCCACUCAUGCAGAUCACAGGCUCCCUGCACCAUCCUUUCACUAGAACAUCCUCAGCAGCUGUUGCUGAGAGAACUUCUCUGCAACACACUGGGUUUCAUCAGCCUCCCUGGGUCAGGAAAAAGUAGCUGCCACCAGCUUGCUUCCCCACCUCAGGCCUCACACUUUCCCAAAAAGGGGAUGAAUACAGAGUGAAUAAUGCACCCUUUAGCCCUCUCCAUUCAGCGCCCACUUCCCUCUCCAGCCUUUCUCAUAAUCAUCGCUCUCCACAACCUACGGUCCCUUCCCUAUUUUCUAAUGUAGCCUUUCUGCACUUCCUCUUUCUAGAAGUACUUUCCCAUCAUUUGCAUUUGCUGAAACCCUGCUCAUUCUUUGAGCUCCAACUCAAUGGCCCAUCCUCCACCCUCCCAGAAGCAGUCUGUUUCUUCUUUGGGCUCCCACAGCACUUUUAUACUGAUGCUCAAAUCAAUGAUGGUUGAUGUUUGGGGGGAAAUUUUGAGUUUAUCUAGGCCACUUCUCCAAUUUUGUGGUUGGAAAUUGAGAACCAGAGAGGAAGAGCCACUAACUGAAAAUCACACAACCUGUUAGUGGCGAAGUGCACACGAAAAUAAACCCAGGAGUCCUGGCACCCAGGGCGGUGCUCUUUCCUCUACAUGGCACCUCUGCUACAGAGAUGUGUGCAUUUUUGUGUUUCCCUAACAAGACUGAGAGUUCUUAAAAGCAAAGCUGAAGGGGUGAGCAUGGUGUCUGGCAUUCACCUGGUUAUCAAUGAAAGGUUAUCAAAUUGGAUAUCUAUUAAUCUCCCUGAUGAAUAAACAUCACCUCUACAAAUUCAUCGAUAUCAUUAUCUGCUCUCUUAACCCAGCAAAGUGCAAUAUGUGUCCCUUGAUCUCAGAGGGUUUUUUAAACAAUACCAAUAAAAUCACUACUAAGA
This is a non-coding RNA of Sus scrofa (pig), 5577 nucleotides long. Lineage: Eukaryota; Metazoa; Chordata; Mammalia; Artiodactyla; Suidae. The record is from RefSeq and is a predicted model, not a curated record.